UCACAAGGCUAGAGACUGCCACCGUAUUUGAACUCAGAUCUUCCUGACUACAGCUCUUAACUGUCCCCAAACCACAUAUCAUCUGAACAAACCCGUAGGUUGAGCUGGCUUCUGGCUGGGCAUCCAAGCUAGCCGCCAGCAAGUGCCCAAGACUCCAGGGCUAAGGGCUGGGAGCGGCUUAAAGAUCACUCCCCGCUUUCCCUCCUCCCAGUCCAGGAGUCGGCCUCUGAUUGGAUGAUCUUCUUUUCAACUGAUUCCAAUCUGCUUGUCCUGCUGGGGGUGGAAAAGCAGCGGAGCAGUGUCUGGGGAAAAGCCUCAGCCGAAGGGUUAAAACGUGGAAGUUUUUUUGUUCUGGGAUACUCCUCCUUGUGCCUGGCCGGCCUCGGAGCGAGAGGUGAAGCCAAUCUUCGAUUAGGCAGUGCGGCCAGCCACGGCGGCAUUGGGUCUCCUUUAAAAUCCAUGAGAAGAUCUCAACAGAAUCGAAAUUGCUGCAUGAAAAUUAUGAGGAGGACCUAAUGAAGGAUGCAAGUGUGGCUAAAUGUGGAGGCAGUGUCAGGGUCCUCCCCCUCCUCCACCCUCGGAGUCUUCCAUUCUUCUGCAAUCCCAGAGGUCAGCAAAAUGCAAUUUCAGAGGAAAGCCCUUGUGAAAGAAGAAGCACCAGCUUGGUUUCUAAGGAUAACUAACUACCAGGCAAUGCAUUAACUACAAUGGACAUCUGUUCUGAAGAAGAAAAUUCUGUAUUAUCCAAAGGACUGGACAAGUAUGCUUUUAAAACAGAUUCUUUAGUCAAAUAAGGACUGGACAAACAUCAGAAUGUUUGUGAGCAGUCGAAGAGUAAAAAAAUGGCAGUUUGUACAUUUGUUUGCCACUUGCUUUUUACUAAGCCUCAUGUUUUUUUGGGAUCCCCUUGAUAAUCAUAUUAUGAGCCAUGUGAAGUCCUACUCAUACAGAUACCUCAUAAAUAGUUACAGCUUUGUGAACGAUAGCCUGUCCCUCCGGCACAACUUGGAAGGGGCGGCUAGCUUCCAAUACUUGAUUAAUCAUGAGGAGAAAUGUAGAGCACAAGAUGUCCUUCUUUUGCUCUUCGUAAAGACGUCUCCUGAAAACCGCUAUCGCCGAGACGCCAUUAGAAAAACAUGGGGUAAUGAUAGAUACGUUCGUUCUCAGCUGAAUGCCAACAUUAAGACUCUCUUUGCUUUAGGAAGUCCUAAUAACCCUCAGAAAUCUGAGAGAGAGAGGCUGCAACAUGAGCUUUUUUUAGAAGAUCAAGAGUAUAAUGAUUUAAUUCAGCAAAACUUCACUGAUACUUUCUACAAUCUUACUCUAAAAUUGCUUUUGCAGUUCAGAUGGGUCAACAUGCACUGUGCACAUGCCAAAUUUGUUAUGUCAGCAGAUGAUGACAUAUUUAUUCACAUGCCAAAUCUCAUUGAAUAUCUUCGAAGUUUAGAGCAAAUUGGUGUUCAAGAUUUUUGGGUAGGACGAGUUCAUAGAGGGUCUCCUCCCGUAAGGGAUAAGAACAGCAAAUAUUAUGUCCCGUAUGAAAUGUAUCAUUGGCCUUCAUACCCAGACUACACAGCCGGAGCUGCCUAUGUGAUCUCCAGUGAUGUAGCGGCCAAGGUAUAUGAAGCAUCACAAACACUUAAUUCGAGUCUUUACAUAGAUGAUGUGUUCAUGGGUCUGUGUGCCAACAAAAUGAAUAUUGUACCCCAGCAUCAUGUAUUUUUUUCUGGGGAAGGAAAAGCUCCCUAUCAUCCCUGUAUUUUUGAAAAAAUGAUAACAUCUCAUGGACAUUUGCAAGACCUUCAGUACCUAUGGAAGGCAGCAACAGAUUAUAAAGUCAAGACAAUUUCUAAAAGCUUUUUGGGUCAUAUAUACUGUAGAAUGGUUAAAAUAUUGCUUCUUUGUAAACCAAAAUAUGUGGACACCUAUCCUUGUAAAGCAGCAUUCUACUAAUAGUACUUGAAUAUUGUCUCAAAUGUCACUGAGCCAAACCUGAAAGAAAACUUUUCAAUGUUUAUCCAAAUCCACAGUGAAUACGGUAAGCAAAGAAAUGUUUUGAAAGCUAAGCCAAUCAGAACAUUUCUUUGAUUAAAAAAAAAAUCCAACUCUACAACUUCUAUUUUUUUAGUAGCCUAAAAUUUUAAAUUUCAACUCAAGGAAUUUAAGACUUGUGGAAUGAAAUCCUCACUUUGUGCCCCAUGUAUAUUUUAAAGUACAGAGAGUUCUUAGUUACUUUUUAAAAAAUUCUUGGUAUUAACUUUAACUUGGAACAGUCCAUGUAAUAGUGAAAUACAUCUUAAAAUAAGAGUACUUUAAGGUUGGGGAGGUAAAUGAACUUGGAAAAUACCGAUCACAGGGGAGUUGUCAAUGAAGACCUAAUAGAUCUGGUCAUUAAAAAAAAAAGAUUUAGAAGGGGAAAAAAAAGGUAAGCAUUAUUUAAAUAUGGGCAAAAUAAUUUUCGUUUGACAUCCAUGUAGUAAUAAUCUCUAAAUAGCGUUAGGCUAGUUUAUAUAAUCUACUGACUUUUACCCCUAAAACUAUAUAAGAAAGGAGCAUGUUUUUUAUAAUAUCCUAAUCUGUGCUUUUCAAAAUUUAAGUAUGUUUGAAUUGGAAUAGGAAGAAAUAUAAAUAUAUUGCAAAAAAUGGCCUGCUUGCCCACUAAACCCUUCCUUUUCUAGGGUAAAAUUACAGUAUAUUCUCAUUUCAGUAAGAUUUCAUUUUAGUGACAUAUUUUGAAUUGAUAACUUAAAAGUUCUUUUAUCAAAACAGGUAUGACUUGGGAAAUAGGUAUUCUUUAAAAAGAAAUGCUUUGGGUUAUGUUCAGAUGGAUUACUUUUAAAAUACUGGUAUGGUAGAAAACUAGUGGAAAUUUUUCAAAAGGAAAGGGUAGCUACAUGUAAAGGAAGUCUCUUAUUUUCCCCAUGUAAAUCAUGUUUAAAAGAUUUUGUAUUUAUACAUUAAUCUUAAAAAGGAAAAAAAAUUACGGAGGUAGAAAUUUGCUAAUGCAAAUUUAGAUUCAAUUGAAUUUCACAAAAGUUUAGCAUUAAAUCUUCCUCCUUACAUCAAAACUAUUGUCAAUAGUGGACUUCACUUUUUCAGUAUUUCAAGCUUGAGGGCAAAAUGGAGUGAUGGCUCUUAUUUUGAUAGAAAGUUAGUUUCCAAAAGUAGGUUCUACAGAAAAUGUAAGACUAUAACUAAAGGAGUAAAGGUAUGAAAAUUACAUCCUAAUUCAACAAGAGUUGCCUAAUGAUGCACCCUCCCUUGGUUUUUAAAAAGCAGGGAUAAAAAUAAAUGUGAAUUAAUUUCCUGCUUAAUCUGCUGCAAAGGGAAUAUUCACAGGUCAAAAUGUUUUCUCCAAAAUGAGAACAACAGUGUGGACUCAUUCUGAAUUGGCCUUAACAGACAUAGCUGCAGAAAAGGCCCAUUCUCAAUUGUUAAACUAUUUCACCAAUAGAAUGUAGUCUGAAAUAAACAAAAAUAAACUCCCUUUCUAUAUACCUGGCUUAUUAUGUACUUAAUUUAGCUGUUUACAUGCAGAUAAGUCUGUUUUUCUAGACCCUGAAGUAAGGCUUGUUUACAUUGCUCAGACAGUAAUUAGUUUACUUAAGCCAAUGUUGAACUAAAUGACAGUUAAAAGAAUAUAACAAUUAUAGAUAGGUUCCUGGUAGCUCUACAAUACAGUAGGACUUUUAAUAUCAUUAGAUUUAUGUUUUCCUUGCCAUUUUAAAUACUGCAAAUGAUACCUAACUAUUUUAAUAAAGAUGGGUUGAUACUUUAUGAUCACUUCCCCCUAGUUGGUGAUUGAUGAUAUCCCUUUAACUUUUAGAUAUAUGCUAGAGUCAUUUGUAAUUCGUAGUUAUUUAAAUUCACUGUUGGAUAAAAAUACUAAUAUUGCUCUGACCUUUGAAAUGCUCUGGUGUUUACAGCAGGUCUGUUUGUUUAAACAGUUAUUUAUUUGCUUUAAAAGGACUCUCGUGAUUUUUUUUUGUUUUGUUUUGUGGUUUUUUUCAUUAUUAUUCUUGCUUUAAAAUAGAAGUGAAACUUAAACAUUUGAGUUUAAAGGAAAUAUGACGGCACUCAUUCUUAAGAAUGGAGUUGCUAGAAACUUUCUUAGUUGUUAGUAUUUACAAAUAAAAGGAUUCCAACCUUUUUAAAAGGAAGGAAAUAAAACCUGCUGGUGCUCUAAUGCAGGGCUGUUAUGGUAUGAAUUUUAUCAUUAUAUAAAUUUUAAAAAUCAGCCUGGAUGGUCGCUUGAGUAGAAGUUUUGAGAUGAUUGCACAGAGUGUUAUUGCCAUAAAUUGUUUUUACCUCUGGUUAUUUUUGAAUCUUUUUCUUUAUUGCUGAUUUUAUACAAAAAUGUUCAAUAUUUAUAUUCUUCAAAUUUUGCUAUGAUAUUGUAACAGAGAACUGCAGUGUAUAGUGUUUUAUUUGUUUGUUUUGUUUUGAUUUUAGUAAAUCUUUCUAGCAUUUCCAAUAAAUACUUUUGAAAUUGGCA
This is an RNA transcript of Monodelphis domestica (gray short-tailed opossum), 4495 nucleotides long. It is a transcript of the gene named UDP-GlcNAc:betaGal beta-1,3-N-acetylglucosaminyltransferase 5, with no coding region annotated. Lineage: Eukaryota; Metazoa; Chordata; Mammalia; Didelphimorphia; Didelphidae. The record is from RefSeq and is a predicted model, not a curated record.